AGAGUUUGAUCCUGGCUCAGGAUGAACGCUGGCGGCGUGCCUAAUACAUGCAAGUCGAACGAGGUGCUUUUGUAGCAAUACGAGAGUAUCCUAGUGGCGAACGGGUGAGUAACGCGUUGGUGACCUACCCCAAAGUGUGGGAUAACAGUCCGAAAGGAUUGCUAAUACCGCAUGUGGUCAUUGGAUUUAGAAACUGAUGACUAAAGGAGCGAUUCGCUUUAGGAGGGACCUGCGUCCCAUCAGCUAGUUGGUGAGGUAAUGGCUCACCAAGGCGACGACGGGUAGGGGACCUGAGAGGGUGGCCCCCCACAAUGGAACUGAAACACGGUCCAUACACCUACGGGUGGCAGCAGUAGGGAAUAUUGCACAAUGGGCGAAAGCCUGAUGCAGCAACGCCGCGUGUGCGAUGAAGGCCUUCGGGUCGUAAAGCACUUUUCUGAGAGAUGAGAAAGGACAGUAUCUCAGGAAUAAGUCUCGGCUAACUACGUGCCAGCCGCCGCGGUAAUUC
This 508-nucleotide ribosomal RNA is filed under the name uncultured bacterium. RNAcentral describes it as "bacterial SSU rRNA". It matches the Rfam family "Bacterial small subunit ribosomal RNA", at positions 8 to 526 of the family's 1533-position model. The record is from RNAcentral.